Molecule: ribosomal RNA, 413 nt
Filed under: uncultured bacterium
Lineage: Bacteria
Description: bacterial SSU rRNA
Rfam family: Bacterial small subunit ribosomal RNA
Source: RNAcentral
GGGCCCGCACAAGCGGUGGAGCAUGUGGUUUAAUUCGAUGCAACGCGAAGAACCUUACCAGGGUUUGACAUAGUACGAAGUUUUUUGAAAAAAACCACCUUCGGGAACGUACAUACAGGUGGUGCAUGGCUGUCGUCAGCUCGUGUCGUGAGAUGUUGGGUUAAGUCCCGCAACGAGCGUAACCCCUAUCUUUAGUUGCCAGCGGAUAAUGCCGGGGACUCUAAAGAAACUGCCAGCGCAAGCUGAGAGGAAGGCGGGGACGACGUCAAGUCAUCACGGCCCUUACGUCCUGGGCCACACACGUGCUACAAUGGUUGGUACAGAGGGCAGCUACCUAGUGAUAGGAUGCAAAUCUCAAAAGCCAAUCUCAGUUCGGAUCGGAGUCUGCAACUCGACUCCGUGAAGCUGGAAUC